GUGAAGAACGUAGCAAAGUGCGAUAACUAGUGUGAAUUGCAUAUUCAGUGAAUCAUCGAGUCUUUGAACGCAACUUGCGCUCAAUGGUAUUCCAUUGAGCACGCCUGUUUCAGUAUCAAAAACACCCCACAUUCAUAAUUUUGUUGUGAAUGGAAAUGAGAGUUUCGGCUUUAUUGCUGAAUUCUUUAAAAUUAUUAGGCCUGAACUAUUGUUCUUUCUGCCUGAACAUUUUUUUAAUAUAAAGGAAUGCUCUAGUAAAAAGACUAUCUCUGGGGCCUCCCAAAUAAAUCAUUCUUAAAUUUGAUCUGAAAUCAGGCGGGAUUACCCGCUGAACUUAAGCAUAUCAAUAAGCGGAGGA
RNAcentral lists this unclassified non-coding RNA (358 nucleotides) under soil metagenome. RNAcentral's name for it is "partial contains 5.8S ribosomal RNA, internal transcribed spacer 2, and large subunit ribosomal RNA". The stretch from base 2 to 118 matches the Rfam family "5.8S ribosomal RNA", at positions 37 to 154 of the family's 154-position model. The record is from RNAcentral.